RNAcentral lists this ribosomal RNA (471 nucleotides) under Triticum aestivum (bread wheat). Its description in RNAcentral is "partial small subunit ribosomal RNA". Lineage: Eukaryota; Viridiplantae; Streptophyta; Magnoliopsida; Poales; Poaceae. The record is from RNAcentral.
CUCAAGCCUCUAGAGAAGUUACCGCACGAGAGGACCGAGGAGGAAAACGCGAAGAUCGUGCGGACCGAAGUGAAGGACUUCUUUGAAGGGUUGAAAGCAAAGAGACAUCCACCUCCGGAGGAGAAGGUAGAUCCGGUGAAAGCAAAUCGCACUAUCGAUGCCCUGAGGAAACCACCAAAGUCUCCGCCGAAAACCAACUAUGAGCGCAUUACUGAAAAGGCAUAUCUCGAAGCGGAGCGGUCGGGAAGUACUGUCAGUGAUCAAAGGUUAAAAGAACGAGCAGCUGGGAAAAAAAUUGCCCAGCUCGGCGAACAAGCAAACCAAUCGUGCCCCCCGCUCAAUGUGUCUAGCGACAUCGUCGCUAAUGCUCCGGGGAUGGUGCCCGGUUAUAGCAAUCUUGGAGAUUACCUGCCCGACGAUGUACAUUAUGAUUUCUUGGAGGUGGACGAACACAGAUACGAGUACGGGAAG